AAGUCUUCCAAAUAUUGGUAAAGAAUUGGAGAACUUUAGCAAGCCCGCAGGUUAUAAGAUAAACCAUUCAAAAUCUGAGAUAAUAAAUAUAUCAAUCCCUGAGAAUAUUGUUGAUACUACUCAAAAAUCUUUUCUCUUUAGAUUGGGAAUUUCCAAGAUAUUUUUAUUUUGAACCCAACAGAUAAAAUAGAAAGACUGUAUGACUUUAACUAUAUAAAUUUAAUUUUACUUUUUUUUGUCACUUUACCACACUCCUAGUAUGUAAGCUCAUUGAGCAGGACCUCAACCCUUCUGUUCCUGUGUGUCCAACUUGUCUGGCUAAAACUACACGUUUUGUCUACCCACUGUAAAGCGCUGCAGAAUUUUGGCACUAUAUGAAUAAAAG
Pelobates cultripes (western spadefoot toad) is the source of this 385-nucleotide non-coding RNA. Lineage: Eukaryota; Metazoa; Chordata; Amphibia; Anura; Pelobatidae. The record is from the annotation of a GenBank genome assembly.